This 677-nucleotide long non-coding RNA is filed under the name Chloebia gouldiae (Gouldian finch). Its description in RNAcentral is "Erythrura gouldiae (Gouldian finch) lncRNA (ENSEGOG00005002535.1)". The record is from RNAcentral. Lineage: Eukaryota; Metazoa; Chordata; Aves; Passeriformes; Passeridae.
AGAGCCUCAAUGUUCUGCUUUACAAUAGGGCUUUUCACCAGAUUCUCAGCAUUUGCACUGAGUCAAUACUAAAGGUCUGGGACCUAGAAACAGGAUCGCAAAUAUAUCAAAUAGAAGAUGCACAUGGGCUGAAUAUUGAGGUGACCUGUGCAGCCAUUGAAAGAAAUGGGGUUUAUCUUGCUACUGGGGCAUGUGAUGGAACAGUGAAAAUCUGGGAGUUUGAAAGCGGGCAAGAAGUUAAGGCUUUGCCUUUAGCACAACACAGCAAUGAUGAGCAUCGUAUGCUGAAGAUAGUAUAUCUGAAGGCUGAUGAGGGUCAACAUGCAGUUAUUGUUUUGGAGCAGAGAGGGAAGAUAAAAAUCAUUCAGGGUGACUCAACUCAAACAGAUCUGUAUGUCACAUGGGUGCUUCCUGAGAUAGUGCCAUUUCCACGAAGGAAUCCAGUUGUGUAUCUGUCCCUGAAGCCUGCCUCCUUAAACACACAAGAUUUUUUCCCAGAGAUUCGGCUUCUGUGUAACACCAGUUGCAUGAAAAAUGACACAGAGACUUUUUUAUCUUCUGUGGAUAUUAAGUGUUUUGAUGUUUUAAAAGUAGAAGGAGGCAGAUUGAUAGCUACAGGAAGUGCAAAUGGUGAAAUAAAUUUGUGGGAUUUUGAAUCUGCCUCUGUGAAAUGCCUG